GCUGGGUUUAGAACGUCGUGAGACAGUUCGGUCCCUAUCUGCCGUGGGUGUAGGAUACUUGAGAGGAGUUGCCCCUAGUACGAGAGGACCGGGGUGAACGAUCCACUGGUGGACCUGUUGUUGCGCCAGCAGCAGUGCAGGGUAGCUAUGAUCGGACAGGAUAACCGCUGAAGGCAUCUAAGCGGGAAGCCCCCCUCAAAACAAGGUAUCCCUGAGAACCGAGGUAGACCACCUCGUCGAUAGGCCAGAGGUGUAAGCGUGGUAACACGUUCAGCUGACUGGUACUAAUGGUCCGAUAGGCUUGAUUUG
RNAcentral lists this ribosomal RNA (309 nucleotides) under Planktomarina temperata. Its description in RNAcentral is "partial 23S ribosomal RNA". It matches the Rfam family "Bacterial large subunit ribosomal RNA", at positions 2604 to 2925 of the family's 2925-position model. The record is from RNAcentral. Lineage: Bacteria; Pseudomonadati; Pseudomonadota; Alphaproteobacteria; Rhodobacterales; Paracoccaceae.